CCUUCGAUAGCUCAGUUGGUAGAGCGGUGGACUGUAGCGAAAGCAGUAGCGAUCCGCUGUGUGUUGCACUUCACUUUGAAAGUAGAUCGCUGCGAGUGGUAGUAGUAAUCCAUAGGUCACUGGUUCAAAUCCGGUUCGAAGGA
This is a non-coding RNA of Anopheles dirus, 143 nucleotides long. The record is from Rfam. NCBI's taxonomy places the organism in Eukaryota, Metazoa, Arthropoda, Insecta, Diptera, Culicidae.